GGAGUCGGCCGGGCGGCCGCGGCGCGGGCCAAGCCUACGUCGAGGAAAGUCCGGACUCCACAGGGCAGGGUGCUGGGUAACGCCCAGGCGGGGUGACCCGCGGAAAGUGCCACAGAAACAGACCGCCGACGCCGCAGACGGCUCGCCGCCGAGGUGCCGGCAAGGGUGAAACGGUGAGGUAAGAGCUCACCAGCGGCCGGGUGACCGGCCGGCUCGGCAAACCCCACCCGGAGCAAGGCCAAGCAGGGAGCGGGUGGCCCGCCCGAUGCUCCCGGGUAGGCUGCACGAGGACCGCGGCGACGCGGUCCCCAGAGGGAUGGUCGCCACCCGGCGCCGGCUCGACCGGAUCGCCGGGAACAGAAUCCGGCUUACAGGCCGGCCCCUCCA
This 387-nucleotide RNase P RNA is filed under the name Actinomycetes bacterium. Its description in RNAcentral is "Actinobacteria bacterium RNase P RNA component class A". It matches the Rfam family "Bacterial RNase P class A". Rfam says of the family: Ribonuclease P (RNase P) is a ubiquitous endoribonuclease, found in archaea, bacteria and eukarya as well as chloroplasts and mitochondria. Its best characterised activity is the generation of mature 5'-ends of tRNAs by cleaving the 5'-leader elements of precursor-tRNAs. Cellular RNase Ps are ribonucleoproteins. The record is from RNAcentral. Lineage: Bacteria; Bacillati; Actinomycetota; Actinomycetes.